UCGAUCCUACGGGGGGCAGCAGUAGGGAAUUUUCGUCAAUGGGCGCAAGCCUGAACGAGCGAUGCCGCGUGAGUGAAGAAGGCCUUCGGGUUGUAAACUUCUUUUCUCGGGGACGAAGAAAGUGACGGUACCUGAGGAAUAAGCCACGGCUAACUACGUGCCAGCAGCCGCGGUAAUACGUAGGUGGCAAGCGUUAUCCGGAUUUAUUGGGUGUAAAGGGCGUGUAGGCGGGAGCGCAAGUCAGAUGUGAAAACUCAGGGCUCAACCCUGAGCCUGCAUUUGAAACUGUGUUUCUUGAGUGCUGG
This 305-nucleotide ribosomal RNA is filed under the name uncultured bacterium. RNAcentral's name for it is "bacterial SSU rRNA". It matches the Rfam family "Bacterial small subunit ribosomal RNA", at positions 333 to 652 of the family's 1533-position model. The record is from RNAcentral.